AUGAACGCUGGCGGCGUGCUUAACACCUGCCAGUCGCACGAUGAAGCCCAGCUUGCUGGGUGGAUUAGUGGCGAACGGGUGAGUAACACGUGAGUAACCUGCCCUUGACUCUGGGAUAAGCCUGGGAAACUGGGUCUAAUACUGGAUAUGACUUCUCAUCGCAUGGUGGGGGGUGGAAAGAUUUAUUGGUCUUGGAUGGACUCGCGGCCUAUCAGCUUGUUGGUGAGGUAAUGGCUCACCAAGGCGACGACGGGUAGCCGGCCUGAGAGGGGGACCGGCCACAAGGGGAAGGAGAGAAGGGCCAGAAUGCAAAGGGAGGCAAGAGGGGGGAAGAUUGGACAAUGGGGGGAAGGCUGAUGAAGGGAAGGCGGGGGGGGGAAGAAGGGCUUCGGGUUGUAAACCUCUUUCAGUAGGGAAGAAGCGAGAGUGACGGUACCUGCAGAAGAAGCGCCGGCUAACUACGUG
This 465-nucleotide ribosomal RNA is filed under the name uncultured bacterium. Its description in RNAcentral is "partial 16S ribosomal RNA". It matches the Rfam family "Bacterial small subunit ribosomal RNA", at positions 29 to 507 of the family's 1533-position model. The record is from RNAcentral.